CUAUUAGCAUGACAAUGACGGUAUUGAGAAGCUAUUUAUAAUUAAUUGAAUUACAAAUGAUAACACUAAAUAAUGUAUCGUUCGAUCUGACAAGAACUGUUCAGAUCAGACUGGCCAUUUUAGAUUAAAAAAAAUGGUGUACGUGUGUUAUUACAAAGGAAUAUAUUCCUAAAUUUCAAAUUUCAAAUUGGUAGAAAAAAUGCGAUGAAAGAAACAAAAGGACAUUUAAACUCAUAAGUCGAAAACAGACAGACAAAUUGAAUAGUAAUGCAAAGAGAUAAAAAUAGAUAAAUGAAAAGACAAAUGGAAAUAGUAAUGUGUCAAAGAGACAACAACCCGACCAUAGAACAGACAACAGCAGAAGGUCACCAAUCCAGCUUUACAAAACAAAAUAUAGAAAUUCAAAGACUGAGCCGCAAAAAUAUACAAAAAGAAGAUGUGAUAUGACUGCUAGUUUAAUAACUCUCCACAAGAGACCAAAUGUGACAGACAUUCACAACUAUAGCUCACAGGGCGGACUUCAACAAUGAGCAAAGCCCUUUGCGCAAAGACGGUUUAAAGCCAACCAUUACCGGGGUUGUUGUCAGAUGCUUUGGAAGGUUGAACAGAUCAUACUCCACAGGGACCCCCUUUGAAAAGCUUAUGUAAGUACUACAAUACCGUCUAAUUUGGUAGGUUACAUGAGAGUUAAAGGAGAAGGGUUAAUAGUUACGACAAUUGAAACAUAUUCGUCAUCAUCUGUGACGUCAAUGAGGGUCGACAAAAAAAACGGCUUCCGUAAAUUUCAGAUAUGAUAAUUUCAAAUUCACCACUUGGAACACUUAUUUUAAGUUGUAAAAAAAAAUAAAAAAUAACGAACUCGGAAUAUAAUUCUAAAUCAUGAAAAAACUAGUGUAUCUCUAUCACGGAAAUCAUGAAAUCUAGCAACUACCAGUUGAAGAAUUUCGUAUUAACUGGAAGACAUAUAACUCUAUAUCCACUACGUACAUAGUCUGAAAUGUUUUUUAUUCAAUGGUAUCGUGCAAAAUGAAGUAAACCGAUACUAUAAAAGGUAGCAUUUUUUACAAAAUAAAUUUUUAAAAGUCACAGUAUUAAGCUGUUUUGAACAUGUUGAAAGUCCAAACGAAAAACAGUUAUUUUUCAGAUACGUGUUUUUUUUUUUUGUAACACAAGCAGCUCUAUUAAUAUACAAUUAUUAACUUUUGAUGAGCUUUACUAGUAUGCAAUGAUUUAUCAACUGAAAUCAAAGGUUAAGAAUUGAUUAUUAUCAUGAUUAUAUUACUAAGUAUCCGUCUAACAUUUCGCAGUGGUGCUAGUUAUUCUUUUAUUCUUGCAGUUUUUCUUUUUUUUUGCAAAAGGUGCGAGUCAAAUUCUGUCUCUGUGAUACAGGUGCCCCAGAAUGAACGAAAUAACAAAGAGAGGAUAAUCUAGAACUCUCCAAUGAUUUGACAUUUUUUCGUUAGUGGCGCGUGUUUGUAUUUUUAGUUUUGAGUUCCGGUGUUGUGUGACACGGGUGCUUCGAUAAAUGAGGUAUUUACUAAGAGAAGAGGAAAACAAUCUAAAGAUUAACACAUUUCUUCGAGUUCGUUAUAUUCCAAUUUGGAGUGGUGCGAGUAUGAUAAAGUGAUAUAAGUUGUUAUAAUAAGUAAAAAUGUUUUUAAUGCAUGGUGCGAGGUGGCCGUGGGGGAAUUGUCUUAAAUUCGAGACAAAAUGACUACAAAACCAUUUCAGCCUGCUAAUAAAAUGAUGAUGGUAAAAAAGCAGCUAUGAAACUUAAUUUUGGGGUUUAAUUAAUUUAGCUGCGCUUAUUAAAGCAUUAAUUGAUGCGGUUAAAAAAGAACAUAACAUUAACUAAUUAUUCAUUAUAUAUGAUACUUCAGACGAUAUUCGGUUCGGAGAUAAACUGGCUAAACAAAUUUUGUCUAUCAAUUAAAUAGUAUAGAUAUGUGUUCUAUGUAUUCAUAAUUAUGCAUCGUUAUUAAUAAUCUGUCAUUGUAAUUGCCCUUGAUGACUAGUUUCAGAUAAGCGUACAAAAACAUAGAAUUACAAAUCUUCUCAACUGUUUUUGUGUUCAACAAAAGUGCAAAUAUGUUUUUUUUCAUUUAAUUGUAAAUCAGAAACUGACAUUAAGUAGUAGUACAUGUAUAUAGACACAUAAAAGUGUUUUUGCAUUCAGCAUUUAUUAAAAAAUACCUGUAUUUCUUCUUUUUAUUACAAUUGAUGACCUGUCAUCAGAUAUAAGAACUUUUUGUAUAGCAUAAUUUUGCUGUUUUGUUAUAAAAUAUGAAAUAAAAUAUGAUGAAUAAAAGUGAUAAGUUACUUUAAGUUUUUUUUUACAUUGUUUGCUUCAACAAUGUACCUGUAUUUUGAUUUUAUUGCGUUAGAAUGACAAUAUUUCAAUGAAUAAUAAUUAUUAAUAAUAAUGUUUUUGUCCAAGGCGGAUAACCCUGGCCUCACAACUUUUUGGAACUUUUGGUCCUCGGCGAUCUUCAACUUGGUACUUGUUAUGGCUUUCAAACUUUUCACAUCUGAGCAUAGUUUUGUGUGGACGUAGCGCGCGUCUGGCGUAUAAAAAUAUUUUUUAACCUGUUACCUGUGGAUGGCUAUUAUUCGUUUGUUUCUCUGUCCUAUAUUUUCUUCCAUUUAUCUGUUUAUUUAUUGUAGCCCUGUCGUGUAAUGUUGUCAUUUUAAUGUUAUAAUUAACACUGCCAUUAAAGCGGGAGGUUUGGCAUGCCACAAAACCAGGUUCAACCAACCAUUUUUUUCAUAAAAUGCCCUGUGCCAAGUUAGGAAAAUGGCCAUUGUUACAUUAUAGUUCGUUUCUGCGUGUGUUACGUUUCGGUGUUGUGUCUCUGUUGUGUCAUAGUUCUCUUAUAUUUAAUACGUUUCCCUCAGUUUUAGUUUGUAUAACCGGAUUUGUUUUUUCUCUAUCGAUUUAUGAAUUUUUAACAGCGGUAUACUACUGUUGCCUUUAUUUAAUAAGAUAAAUAUCUAUACUUCUGAAGGAAGAGGUGGAUUUUAUUGAGCUACAUCUCAACUGAAACCAUACAAAGUCAUCUAAUUCAUAUAAAUGUCUUUAAAACAAAAACAUUUGCAUAGAAAACAUAAACAAGAGAACGUAUCCCUAUUCAGAGAAAUUAUAUCGAUCCUUGUCUUUUACUCUGUUUUUGUUCUGCGCAGUCGACGAACUGUCUGCGAAAUUUUAAACCUACUAGACAAAAAACCCGCGAAAUAUUACUUUGGUUCAUAAUUUGAAGAUAUACAGUUUUGAUGUAAGAAAAUUUAAUCACAAUUUUUGUUCCAACUCCUUCGAUUGAUCUCGUUUACAAUUUUUUGUAAAUUGAAAUCUUAAAACAUUUGUUGCUAAUUUACAAAUCUUGAUCACAUGUUUGAUGAAAUGUCUUGUUUGUACCAUUCUAUUAGAACCAUGGUUUAAAUUUUGCUUCAAAGAUUUUGCACCACACUCCUCUCGGUGGAACAAUAUUUUUUGCGCUCCCCUCAACUCCUGGAUUGGCACCUGAUUUCAAGUGUUUCCAUGCUCAGAAAAAAACCCGUAUAUAUGAAUGGGCUGAAAAUUUUAUGCAUUAAUAGGAAGGGGGUGUCACUUUCCAGCCGCACACCUGUAGGCUUUUUUAACCGAAAACCGAAGUAAUCCCUCCACCCUUUUCGUGUUGAAUUGCUGCAGUUCAGCGGAAGGAAAAGAUCUUGACGUGUGAAGACCUGUUGUGAAAUUAAUGAGAUAGUCAAGGGAAUGUGUAUUUUAUGCAUUUAGUAUAUGAAUGGGUGGUCACAUUCCAGUCGCUCUUUUGUACCCAUUUUUUACCGAAAACAGAGGCAAGCCACUCCCAUACAUAAGUGGGUUUAAAAAUUUAUGCAUUAAUAUGAAAUGGAGGUAGGUCAUAGUCCAGUCGCACCCAUUUUUAACCGAAAAUUGAAAAAAUCCGCCACCCUUUUCGUGUUAAAUUGAUGCUGUUUCCCGGAAGGAAAGGCUCUUGACUAGUUAAAAUCUGUUGUCAGAGGAAUGUGUAUCACAAAGUGUUUCUGUGUAAGGUGAAUAUUAAUCGUAUCUUCAACGAAAUGAAAUUUUAAUUGUGCAGGGCAGUCGUGCAAUGACGGGAUUGAUGGGGGCACUUAAAUUUCAAAGCCGAACGUCGUGAAUGACGGUCGAUUCGAACUGGCUUUUUUCGAUUUUAAACCCCCAAAUACCACCAACAGAUCUUGAAAUGAACACAUAAUAAACAACACUGGUCAUUGCCCCUUUGUACUAUAAAACAAUAUUCAUGGAUUCUAUGUGAAAGAAGAAUACAAGACACCCAAUUUCAACUCUAUUCAUUUAGCAAUAUAGAUCUGUUUCAACACUUGUCCAAUUGUACCGCGAUUUUUUUGGCAUCUUAUAGUAGUUUACAUGUAUGGAUUUUUUCAUAUUGACCCAGUAACAUGCCCUCGAUAUCAGUAAUUGCAUCGGCAAGUUUUAAUUGCCCCGAGGAAACACUAAAACAGCUCACCACAAAUCUAAAACAUGGCCAAUACACAACAGCUACUGUGGAUUCUUUUCUUUUCUUGGAUACCAAUUUUCGUUGAUAACUUUCGUGGAUAUUGAAUUUCGUGGUUUUGUCAAAGUUUGUAUACAAGCCUAUAUAAAAGUUUGUUAUUCGUUGAACAUUUUAUUUCGUGGUUCACCUGUACCCACGAACUUCACGAAAAUUGGUAUCUCACGGAUAAUAAUGAAUCCACAGUAAUUCUUUUAUUAAAUUGUUUAAUUCCUCUAUUAAACUAAGAGUCAGAAACUUACCGUGAAGAAGAUACAGAAAUGUAUAGCUGAACUUGUCUACUUGCAUUUAAAGUGGAUUUUUGGUCAACAUUGUCAGAUGUUAUUUCUAAUAUUCUCAUCCAAGUACUUAAUGGAUUACAUUUCAUUUUAUCUACCAAAUACAAAGUAGCUGGGAAGAAUAAAUCAGACGGUUUAACUAUUCUUACUCUUAAGUGGAAUGCGUUCUGAUUAAAGGAAAUGAAACUGUGAUCCUAAUCGAAGGUCCUUCCCGAAAAGGCUGUGAAAUAUAAUGUAUGUCCGUUUCAAGACGUUACUAAACACUGACCACCAUUAAAAUUUCUUCAUUUUGCUUUUAUGAUAUUAGGUUCAAACAAAAUAAAAAAAAUAAGUUAUCACUUACUUUACAAAAUAAACGACAUUUUGAUUGAAUCAAUGUUCCGUUUAAUCUGUUCAUAAUGUAUGGCUGUGAGUUGGUAAAGCACAGACGUGAUUUUGUACUGCAUGACUCUGAUUCCGUUAUGACUGGCUGUAGCAGUUGUCGAAAUUUUUUCCUUCAUAAAGCAUGGACAUUUAUGUACACUACACACAUAUAUAUAUAUAUGAAUUUUAAUUGCAUUAAAUAGAGUGUCCAUAUUUCCCACUGUUAUUCAAUACCCUGCACUGAUAUUUGAUUUGUUCGCUUAAAUUCACAUGAACAUUUACUGUAUUUUAGUAAACUUAAGAAUACGAAAUGCGCAUCGUUUUUUUCUGUACGUGGUUUAUUAAAACUAUUUAUUUACGACAAGAGAAAUUUUUUAAAUGAUAAUUCGAUGGUAGUUUUAUUUGCAUAUUUCAAUUUUGUUCGAACACACGUAUGGUGAGUAGUAAUUUUGCUGCAUAAUGGAAAAAUAAUAUAAAAUGGCCUCUGUUACAAAACAAUUUUUACUUUUCCUGUGUGUUAUUUUCAUCAAAUGAAGCAAAAAUACGAUUCAAUAAGUCAUUGCAGUCAAAAUUCAAAGUUAAAUCUUUCAGUCGGAUCAAUAUGUUCGUUCAUUUCAAUCAAUGAAACGGAUUCUGAGUAUAAGGGCUUACUUAAUUUAAAGGUGACCGAUUUCUGACUGUUAAACUGGUCCUUCAAAUAAAAAACGCAUAAGUUUGCACGUACUAAGUCUGAUCCUGAUUUUUAUUUUGGUUAUAUAAUAAAACAAAUUUAAGACAGCAAAAAUAAUGAUAGAUCAUAGAUGACAGUUUAACGUCCAAACCACAAACACAUAACUGAUUCAUGACUGCUAGGGGUCAAAUAAACAAACCACAAACCAUAAAAUUAAUUGGUAUUUGAACAGGUUUGCAUCUUUUAUCUAGUUUUAUCUCGUUGUUUACUUUCUUUGAAUCCCUUCACAAUAUUUUGCUUAAAAAAAUCUUGAUAAACGGACAAUUUUACAAUGACUUUAAAAUUACUCAUAUAAUUUGUAAGCUGAAUUCAUUUCUUUGUCGUAACUUUCUAAUCUCCAUCGAAAAUUAUUGUCAAUUUCUAGUCAACAUAUGAAACAUACCUAACCCUGUCUAUUGAAUCUAUUCCAUUCUAGUCUUAUUCAAAAACAAAUUUUACAUUAAAAGUUGUACAAUAUGAAUAUUGUUUAGCUAUGAAGGUAACAUUUCUCACAGUGGCUUUAAAACGUAUAAAUGUUUAAAAUGUCCAACCAAAGGCAACAGUAGUAAACCGCUGUUCAAAAUUCAUAAAUCGAUAGAGAAAAAAAAACAAAUUCGGGUUACAAACUAAAACUGAGGGAAACAUAUCAAAUAUAAGAGAACUACUACACAACAGAUACACAACAUCGAAAUGUAACACAGAGAGGGACGAACUAUAAUGUAACAAUGGCCAUUUUCCUGACUUGGUACAGGACAUUUUAUGAAAAAUGGUGGGUUUAACCUUUUCUAAAAGUUGUUCAAAAAGAACACGAACUAACUCUUAAAAAUUAACCCAAACCUUUUUGGAAUUUUUGUUCCACAUGAUCUUCAACUUUGCAUAUCUCAUUUCUAAUGAAACAUUUAACAUAUUCUUUACACAAGUCAAAGCUUCAAACUCGAUCUUCUUUUUAUUGUUGAUUUAUAUUGCCAAUUCUAAGAAUCGCAAUAAAGUAAAACACGAAACCUUCAACAACAUUUUAAACAUAUAACCUUGAAUUCUUGACAUGCAUCUUUUUUUUGUUUUGUUUUUUGUUUGUUUUUGGUAAACCAAAAGAUGGAUCUGUUCCUUGCUAAUUCGUUUUCCGUGAUUAAUUCAUUAUAUUACUUUUUUAUAUUCAUAAUGAACUGUAUAUAUAGCAGGUACUGUUGUAUUGUUGGACAGUGGGUUACAUCGUCAUUCAUUGAAGGUAAGUCUUUGGCUAUGAUUAAUAAUGACGACAAAUCCAUGGUAUUCAUGUACGAAAAGAAAUUUAGAGAGCGCAUACACUAAAUAAAAUGUGUCGCGGACGUAAUGUCAAGAAAAACAAUUAACAACUCCCUAAAAAUAGAUGAACCCGAAUUGUAAGAUUCCAACACUACAACAAUUGUAUUACGAUGUUUUUUUCACUCGAGACAGUUAAAUGUGAAUAAUUAAGUGCAGGGAUUGCAGCAUAAAUAAUUAAAAUUGAACUGUUGAGACUGUAGAAAUAUCGUUACCCACAAUAUAUAGUAAUAAAAUCUGUUUCUAGAAUGAUUUGCAGCCUUCCUUUUCAAAUAUUUUCUGCAAAUUGUGUUCUUUAUAUGUGACGUCAUCAAGCAUAGGUCGCCAUUUCUAUGACAUCACAACAGGAAAUUAUAAAAAAAAAGUCCAGUCAAAGCUGAAGGCAGUUUUCAAACGAAAAUAUCAACAUCUAUGUAAACGACAGACAUAGAUCUUGAUAUUUUUGUUUGAACACUGCUCUCAUCUUUCUUUGACUUUGAUUCAUGAUCCAAAAAAUUGAAUUCUUGUUUGCACAUUAUUAUUUGUUUCCUCGGUUAUGUUUAAUGAUUUCUUGAUCAUCGUCUUUUAAAUGUAAAGAAGCAAAAUAUCAUGCAUAUUCAUAACAAGAACAAAUCACCCUGCAAUGCUAUGUAUCAAUCACGUAUUGCGAAAAUAUAUAAAAAAAAACAUUCAGCAAAACACUAAGGAUGUUCGCUUGUCGUGUUUUGGAAUUUUUGUCAGAUUUUCGAAAUCCUCUUGUUUUAUUCACUUGAAUGCCUUAUACAUUUUUGCCCAUUGAUCCCAUGUUUCUUUUUAUAAAUCUUUAACAUGUUUAAUUAUAAGUCAUCUGUUAAAGUUGUAUAAAAUCUUUGUUUUUUUAUUAGUUUUCUCGAGCUUAUGCUUGCCUAUGAUAAAGCUAGGAAAAAUCAAGAGAGAACAUUUUCCCGUCAAAACUUCAAUGGCUAAUAUUUCGAAAACAAGCACAUUGACUUACAUAUUUUUUUCGCUCAUUUUGUUCCUUUAUUAAUACCCCAUCAAUAUAUACUAGUGUUAUAAAAAGGUUUUUUAUUUUGAAACUGAGAAGCGAAUUCCCUCAACAUAAGAAGAAAAGAUUCAGUAACACGAAUCCAAUCAAAACACCGGGAAUUACUUAAGGUCCACCGGAAACGAAAGCUGUACAACAUCCACUUUAAACACAAUAUUUAUGAAUGAGAAUUCUGGUUGUUGCCAUAUUCCCCUAGAAUCACUAUGUGUUUAAUAGAAAUUGUACUUUUUUUCCAGUAUGACAAACGACAAAGGCUACAACCGAAAACCGCAUCUUAAGACCUCAAUCUGUAUAUUAUAGGAUUGAAACGAUAUUUGAACGUAUACAAAUUAUAAUAUUUAUUUGUACAAUCGUAUGAAUUUAAUCAUCAUCCUAAUCAAUCUUUAUUUUAACUUUACAUGUCAUGGAUAGCUGCAAGCAUUCUAUUUUACGCUGUUGUAGGAAGUACAGUUUUACUACCACGGCCAUAGCAAGACAACAUGAAGUUCGCAUUGUUGAUGCUGGUAUUUCUUGUCAUAGCUACAAGUAUUAACUAAUGAGUAACUGCAUGUAAGAUUCAGUGCUUGAUCCAGUAUCGUGUUCAAUUAACAAUUUUAAGUACUGGUUUGUACUUUUUAAAUGUCACUGUUCUUCGUUUCACUUGUUCAAUAGUUAUCAAGUUAUUACUACAAACACACAAAUAUAUGCGUUUUUAUAUAUGUAUUUAUGUUCAUUUGUAUCAGUUCUUCAAACAAAAAAAUGAUACAAUUACUAAUCGCAAAAUCGUUUUAAAUGAACCUGUUUCUCGUUUCACUUUCAAAAUAGUUAUCAAUUGAUAUCUACUAAUAUAUACGUUUUAUUUAUAUCUGUUUUCAAACAAACAAUUAUAUCCUUUUUAUUCGCAAAACCAGGCGUACUUGGAUAAUAAUCAUGAAGUAUGGUCUUGACAAAAAGUGUUAAAUAUCCUUCAAAAACCGUUUAGGUCAAUCAACAUGGCCUAGUAAUAACCCAACUAUCCAAUCCUUGUUUAUUUUUCAUUGAGUGAGUUGUAACAUUUAAAAGUUUUAAGAUAAUUGCAUUGCUCAACGAACUAAACAUUUCCCAAAACAUUGAAUUGUUAUAUUUCUCUUGCAAUAGCCACACCGCUGCCUCAUCGAUUGUUGGAACCCUUUUGUCAUAGGACACCUAAAUUGGCACUUACUCCGUGGUAGUAAAGACCAAUGUCUGCGACAAAUAUAAUUAUUGAUAUCUUCGAAAGACCAGAAACAUAUAUAUAGUUUAUAAGGAUAAUAGAAUAAAGAAGACCAAGAAUAUACCAACUUCGAGUGAAAUAUGACAAAAACAAAACAAAAUACUUCCAAAACCGUCUAUUGACUUUGACUAAUUGACGAUGAACGUUGGUUACUUUACAUUUAGCAACUUGCUAGAUCUUCACACACAUAUAUUUUAAGCUAUAGCUUUCAAAUCCCGAAGGACAGACUUUUUGUUGAAUGGCACAACUGGAGAAAAGAAUAACAGUAGUACUAACAUAGAAGUUGAUAAAAUAUAACACAUGUUCGUAAUGCAUAACAUAUGUCUCAAGUGAUUUUAUUUUAAACUGAAACAAGUUAAAAAUCCUCGCAGCUUUUUUAUAGCUACAGUUCAGAAUAUUUUCCUAUUAUUAUUCUUUGUAGAUACAAAUGUAUGUUUAAUUCUUACAAAACGGCUUUAAUUCAUGAAUUGUUAUUUUUGUUAACUAAGAGUAAUAACACAAAACUAAAUCACAAAAAAUAGGAUACUUGUUCAAGAGUCGCAUACAAAAUGUUCUAUCAAUAAAUGCAGAAAACAGAACUAACAUUUACCGCAUUUUAAGUAUCCGAAAGUAGUAAAAACUGUCAUACAUGUAGUUCAUGACAAGCGCGAUUGAAUGAAUUCUGAUAUUAACUGAUCCCCCCCCCCAAAAAAAGACUCAGUAUAAAGCUACAUUAAACGUAAACAUGAUAUUUUAAGGAUAGGUUUUGAUUUGUUUUGACGUGUUCAAAUCAGAUGUAGAAAUACGGAAUAUAAGAAAAGCAUUUAAUGGUAUCAGCUUUUAAAAUUUAUUUAUAACAUAGUUAUUUGAUAUAUCCGUUUCAGUGUAUAGCAGAAUUGCAUUUUCUAAAUUAUACCUAUUAUAGUUUCGAUCAAUUUAAUUCUAUGAAAUCAUUGUGCUUUAAAAUCAGGUGAACCCAUUCCAAACUCACCAAUAGAUUACAUUGCAUUAAGACAGAAUGGUUCAAAAUCUAGAAUAUCAUAUUUUUCUUAUGAGCAAAUUUCAAUAUAACAAAAAGACUACAUCUUAAGGAUGUAUUCUUCUGACGUUUUAGUCUCGUUGAAAUCUCGUUCUAGAAUUAUUUCCAAAAUAUGUGAUAGAAGUGGUAAAUAGCAAUGAAUUUUUAAGAUGCAAUAAUCAAACUUGACGCUGUGAAACAUAUGUGUAUUUACAAUAAGUAGUUUUUGAGAAUUAGAUAAUUUGUUACCUAUCAAGUCAGUUUUUGCAGCCAAAAUUUUGAGAAAAUGGGUAAGGGACACAAGAAAUAAUUUUACGAGAAACAGGAACAUCCGAUACCACUUUUUUCUUUCCGAAUUGCUUGAAUAUGUAUUUUUUCAAUUAUUUAUUAACACUUACCUAUAUUUAUGUUAAGUUGAAUUUAUUCAGAAUGAUCCACUUCAUCUUAGUUAAAAGUAUGAAAAAAAGUUUAAUUGUAGAACUGUAAUUUUUUUCACUAUAAAAGUCCAAAAAUGGGCAAAUAAAGGCAACAGUAGUAUACCGCCGUUUGAAACUUAUAAAUCGACUGAAAAAAAAACAAAUAAAAUUGAUGAAAGAUGGGAAAAUCAUCAAACUUGGGUCGUAGCUAAAAGACGUGCACCACCAUAUGAUUUUUUCUCCACCUAUUAUUUUUUUACACAUUUGUAAACCUUAAAAUCAGGUUAAGAAAAAAAGGUUAAGUCCAGAAAUUUUUGGCUCCUCAGAGGUGUAAAUCCUUAAUGUAUUCGUCUGUUGGAAAAUUUAUUAUUCGUUGGGAAUUUGCUCAACUAGACUCAGUCGAUAAAAACUGCAUAUAAAAUAUAAAUGAGGUACAUCGAAAUAAGGUUGUACCUGAAAUAUUUCCACUAUUAACAUCUGUGACAAUACUUUUAAAAUGUAUACCUUUAAUGAUUUGACUUACUUGGUCACGCAACUAAAAAUAUGUUAAUCUUUAAAUAACGUAAAUAACAAAUCAUAUAGUCAAAUGUUGUAUUUUUUGCAUGAAAAGUUACAAUCUGAGGUCGUUAAAAAAACAUUUUAAUUUUACGCAUUACAUUCUUCAAAAUGCAUUGCAGCUAUAUCAUUUGACAAAUAAACACAGCUUUCAGGUCAUCCAAUAUAUUCCCAUCUAACUUGAACGGCUUUUUUUUCGGACUGAUAUGAUUUAAACAAUAUUUUCAGUGACCAAAAUCAAAAUCUCCGGUACAUAUUUUUUGUAAUUUUAUGUGUAAACAAUAAAUAGAAAUGUUUUAGUUAAAUAGAUAUGUUUAGCUUUAUACUGUAAAGGAAAAGUCUUUUAUGUGUUUCAGAAGACUUCUAAUGGUUAUCGUUUCCACUUUUAGAUGACGUUCUUUCCCAAAUGUGUGGUUGUAAUCCAACAAUAGAAGAUCCAGUUUGUUCAAGGUCUGGUGUGACUUUCCAAAAUAUAUGUUUCUUAAGAUGCAGGUAAACAUGUUGUACAACGUAAUUAUCAUAGAUACCAGGAUUAUGAUUUAAUACGUCAGACGCGCGUAUCGUCUACAUAAGACUCAUCAGUGACGCUCAGAUAAAAACAGUAAAAAAGCCAUACCAAUACAAGGUUGAAGAGCAUUGGGAACCCAAAAUUCCCCCCCAAAAAAUGCCAAAUCCGGCUAAAGUAUUCUACUCCUGGGAUAGAUCCUUAAGUUUUUGAACCAAAACGAACAAUUCAUCUGUAAUAUUUUGAAACAAAUCACAUAAUUUAUAUAAAUAAAUUGAAAUCACUGCUCAAUUGAAAUUGUCUCCUUUGAACUGGUCUAGUAGGCUUAACAAAUUUGCAAACUAAUAUGCUGAGCUGGCACAUUUAAAAUCUAGCGGAUGAUUAUCAAACAAUGAAUUGGACAUACAAAACUGUCCUAGAUUCUUUUUUUUAAUUUCCAAGUAUUGGUUUAUAACAGUUAAAACCUUAUUGUGCCUGAAGUGCUUCAAUACAGUUUUCCAUUAAUGCGAGUUGCCAAAUAUUGGUAAAGGAUCAAAAGUAUAGCCAAAUACAGAGGAUGAAUUAAAGCGUUUUUUAAGUAAUACAUUCUAUAAUUCAAUGAUUUCAAUAGUUUAACCACUACAUAUUUCUGUCUUCAAUAUACGUAUUUUCUUGCAAAUAUCGAAGCAUUUCACUACCAAGAUUGUGAUACCCUCUGGGGACUACUAAUUAAACAGCAGAGGUAUACCGACCCAGUUACAACAAAGGCAAAUCACGGUAUCAUGUUUACUGCACUUGAAACACUUAUAAUGGCUCUUGAGUGAUACUCGGAGCAACAACAAAAAACGUUGGAAAGCUGAUAUGACAAAAAGUACAACAAUAAACACAUAACGUUCGGUUCUUAUACUACAUUGGCAUUCAUUUUUUGGGCUUUGAGCGUUCCUGGUGAAGGUAAAACUUGAAAAAGACUUCAGACGCAUGAAAUUUACUUUUGUUGUGUUUACUGUUCUUGAGAUCAAUUCUUACCUAAAUCUUUAAGACAUGCAUUAGGAAGAGAAUACAUGAGGGAAAUAUGUUCUUAUUAUUUUAUUUUUUUUUUACAAAUUGAUACACUAUAUUCCCAUUGGGUUAUUUGCUUUUCCUAUACGUUUUUACAAACAAUCACCGUUAGGUAACGUAAGUUGUUGAUAUCAUGGAUUUGGUUUUUAAUGGAAUUUUGCAUGUGACUGUUACCCGAAGUCCUCCAUAUGAAUACCAUAGAAAUAAAGGUAACAGUUACCAAAGAGACUUUCGAAUAUAAAUAUAUGAAAAUAACUGUUACAUAUUUUAACGUUCAAAUAUUUAACACAUAAAGAAUCCUUUAAAUAGAGUAAUGCAUUGUACUAUUUAUGUAGAUAUCUGAACUAGUUCAAAUAUUUUGAAAUAUUGCUUCUUGAAAACCUGUCCACAGAAGUCUUGAAAUUAAUCGGUUCCAUUUUACAAAUAAAUGUUGGUAAGGAGUAAAUAGUUGAAUUUUCUGGACACUGUAAAUAUAGCGAUGAAAAGGCAAAAACACCACAUGGUGAAUGCUGUGUCCAAAGAAUCUUUUUUUGGGGGGCAUUGUUUAACAUAUUACAUAUUCACUUACAUUUAUACUAGGAAAUCGAUAUUACAGUAAAAACGAAUUAGAUGACAUUUAUAAAAACUUAUCGAAGCUAUGUUGUAUCAAUAAAAUAGCUAUGUUAGUGGCAAUCAGAAUUGUCAAUGUUAUACAAUUCCAUAAUACUUGCAGGUAUAUUUAUGUAUUUUACAUUACAUCUGUGAUGUGACGAAUAUUAUUAUUAACAAGUUAUUGCGGGUUGAUUAUUUGAAGGAAAAUUUGUAUUGUUGGUUCCUUAUUAUUUGUGGGGUGCCAACUUUGAUUUCGUGAGAAUAGGUUAACCUCGAUUUUUUUGUUUUCAAUGAUAUAAUAUUCCCCUUAAGGUCUGUGUGUAAUGUCUGACAAAACACGAAAUCAAAUAUCUAUGAAUUAACUAUAUUGCUGAGUCAACAGAUUGUAUACAAAGCUAACAGAUAAUAUUGAAGCUCUUUUGAAUUUAAUAUGGGCAAGAGUUGAAUGAUUUUCAUAACUAUAGCCAAUGACAGAUGUCGAAGUGAUACGUCAUUAAUUCUUUUUUACAGGGGCUAUUAUUUUAGUUGCUACGGUCAUUGUCCAUGUAUAUUUUAACAUGUAUCAGACAAAGGUAGGUAGUAAUGAAACAUAAUUAAGUCUUAGAACUGAACUUAAAAUUGAUUAACGAUACAUAAAAUUGAGAAAAGUAACGGGGAAUGUGUCAACCAACGAGCAGACAACAGCCCAAAGACACCAAAUAGUCUGCAACACAGAGAGACAAUCCUGUAUCCGGAUCUCGAGGCGGGCUUCAGCUGGCCCUUAACAAAAAUAUGCACUAGUUCAGCAAAAUUUAAAAAAUAAGUCACAGCAAAAUAAGAAAUAUAGAGAUAAGAACUGACCAUAAUAUUUAAAUAAGGUCAAUUCAAAUAAUUCGUGCUAUACUGUUGGCAGUUGUAGGAAUAUAAGAUAUUGUCAUUCGCGGUUCGCUUUUAGUGCAGUAAUGUUUUUCACCCUCCCACCCGAAUAAAUGUAUUUUUCUUGUGUCUUUUUGAUGAAUGUGAAUAAUAAUGUGUGUAAGUAAAGGCAACAGUAGUAUAAGAACAGAAUAUUUAAUUUGAUUUAUAUGUAUUUGCAUACAUAAUGAAAAUUGCUUUUAUUUUUGUAGAUUUGGUUUUUGGGUUUGUAACCUGUAGCGGUUUCGAGAUGAACUUUAUGUUGCAUUUGUCUUUAAUAAAAUUAAAAUUUUGCAACACUUUCAGGCGAGCUGAUCCCAUACAAAGGUGUUGAGUUUAUUUUGUACAUAAUUUAUUUGAACCUGAAAAAGAGUGAAAAACCCAGACAAAA
Molecule: long non-coding RNA, 14841 nt
Filed under: Mytilus galloprovincialis (Mediterranean mussel)
Lineage: Eukaryota; Metazoa; Mollusca; Bivalvia; Mytilida; Mytilidae
Source: RNAcentral